RNA transcript from Panicum hallii, 2874 nucleotides. It is a transcript of the gene named double-stranded RNA-binding protein 4-like, with no coding region annotated. NCBI's taxonomy places the organism in Eukaryota, Viridiplantae, Streptophyta, Magnoliopsida, Poales, Poaceae. The transcript is spliced from 8 exons. The record is from RefSeq and is a predicted model, not a curated record.
AAAGGUCUAAUAUUCUAAUCCCGAUCCCCGCGUCGUACCCACCGCCACCGAGAUGGCGGCUACCACGACCGCGAUGGAGGUUACCGCGACCGGCACCACCGCCGAGGCCGCCGCCGUUCCGCCUCCAGCGGUCGCCGAUUUGAUGUUCAUAGGUUGUUGGAAGUUGGUGUGCAUGAGGUUGGGCCAUGUCAAACAGCAUGUCCUGAACGGGAUUAAGUGCAGCUCCAGCGUGCGCGACAAGUGAAUUGUGGACUGCUCCAAUCGAAUCGUGAACGUUGUAGGAGUCGAACGGUGGUUGUUAUAACCAAAAUCGAAGCUUGCAGACGUGCUGAACUCUCGGCUGCCAGCCUGCCUCCCACCUGAAUAAAUUAAUAUGUUCCUGUACAUGGCUGGCGCAGUUUGCUACUGCGAGAGGAGAAAGGAUGGGUACAGAGAGAAUAUUUUAUUUGCUUUAUGGGGUCCAUGACUCGCUUUAUGGGGUCCAUGACUCGAUGCUGACGCUGUAGGUAGCGAACCAAGGUUCUGUUCGGUAUCCGUGGAUUUGAGAGGUCGAACCAGCAGUGGAGCUGCCCUAAGGUGUUAGAAGGUGGAGAUAGUCAUUGGUUGAGAUGAGGGAACUAAAGGAGCUGGGACAUAAGAAACAGUGUGAGAGAUGUUUCUUUUGAAUAAAAUUUGCAUACACUGCCCAAUUUUAGAGUAUGAGAUGUUCUUCAUCUCUUACACUUUCCUAAAUUUAUCUCAAACUUACCAUUUAUCAAUUUUAUUUUUACUGGACACAAUCACUAACUCUACCUCAAUCCGACCGAACCCUUCUAAACUAUUGCAUAAGCUACUAUCCUUGUCCAACCCACCGACAUCUUCCUCGGCUACCAGUGUUACCUAUAUUCCAGGCACUCUGUAAGAAUCUGACUCGGGCUCUGGUAUCUGAUUCAGCUCGCAAAUAUCAUGUAGAAUCCAAGUUGUUGAAGUAUAAGUGAAUUGCCCACCUCUUCCCAUCAGCUUAAACUUUUGGGUUGAAUUGGUUGGUUCAUGCAACUCAAUAUGGUAUCAGUGUCAGAGGUCUCGAAAUUUUAGAGCUCAGGUGUCUCGGUAACACUGACUGCCUGUUGAUGCGGCUCACCUGCUUGAUAGCUAAUUAGACAUCUGGCAGCAUUUUGUUACUCCUACCAGCUCACCUGCUGCACCUGCUGCUCCCAUUGUACUGGUGCAAGGGGAUGGGGCCCAAGCCUGUAACAUGCAGUGCCAGAGUGUGAUCCUUUUUUUUUGUGAAUUCGAAAAAUGGCAGAGAAGACUAGGUGGAAUGGAUGCAGGCAUGGUUUAUGAUUUUCUUGAGAACUGUUCUGUUAUGCUUCAUUGUCCUUCAUUUUACAGUUUACAUUUCAAUUUCUCUGCAGUGUUGUCGAAAUUGUAAAGAGGUUUUGGAUCAAACACUUAACUGCUACUAAUUUACACUUACAUGAUUGCUUUUGUGUUUUUUGUAUGGUUGACUGACCCAGUAUCAACAACAACAACAACAGCAACUUAGCCUUUUGUCCCAAGCAAGUUGGGAGAAAUAUAUGCAUAAAAAUCGCUUGCAAGAGUUCUGUGUGCAAACAUACAAGAAUCUGCCGAUCUACAAGGUUGAGUUUGAGGGCGAGUAUCAUCAACCUAAGUACAAAUGCACAGUAGAAGUGGAUGGUAAGCAGUUUUCAUCAACUAGUAGUUUCAGUCGUAAGAAGGAAGCAGAGCAGGAUGCUGCAAGAGUGGCUUAUGAGAUCUUGGCAACAAUUGGAGAGAGUGAUGUUAAAGAGGUCUUUGGGCUGAUCAAUCAGGAUGCGGUGUUCUGCAAAUCAAUUCUUUAUGAAUUUGCUGUCAAGACAAAAACCACUUGGCCCUCUUACUCUGUAGUUCGUCUCGAAAAGCCCUUCACCAUGUUUGUUGCAUCUGUGGUGUUUAAUGGGAAUACCUAUACUGGUGAAUCUGCAUCCAGCAAGAAGGAUGCAGAGCAGAAUGCAGCUCGUGCUGCGAUCAAGUCAAUCUUAGCUACAGAUAACUCUUGUAUGAUUGGAAUCAUUAGGUCAAAGAAGCAACUCAUUACUGCCAUCAAAUCUUCUGGAAGCACCCCAACUACUUUUACUCCUAUAAAGUUUACGCGCCCUGUUGCAUAUGCAGCAUAUGGCGGACCGGAUCAUGUAGCACCUGUGUCACAACAUAAAUCUUACUCAUUAGGUGUUCAAGGACACAGCAUUGUACCAGCAGUUGGGACAUCCGCCAACCCAUCUGCAAAAGCUGUAACUGGUUCAAAGAAGCGCAAGCGCAGAGUUGGAGCAGAGGCCAAUGAAACAAUGGUUGCCAAGGGGCAUUAACUUCUCACCCAUCAACACAAGUUUACUCAAAUUGUUAUUUCCAGUUGCAUGCCAUCGUAAUGUUUUGUGUUGAUGGUUCGCAAAGGCCCACCCCGUUAAUGGUGUGCUUAGAGUUGAUGGAAGUAACUGGCUUGCUCACAUGGUGCAGCGUGGCAUGUGCGUUUCUUCAGUAGGAUAUUUCAACUGAUAUGGGAUUGUUAUUUCCUUCCUAUCGCUCUAUAGAGCUGCAGGGUUAGGGUUAAUCAUCUUUGCCAUUGCCAAACAAAACUUCGGCGAUGUACUUAGUUCCUCCCUCCUCUUAGGACUUCUACAAGUUAACCAGUUAAUGUGGUGUCCAACUAAUGUCUGCGUAGUCUAUGUAAAGAUAUGUCCUGCGUCUGAUCAUCGCCGAUUCAUUGUGCUGGGUCCGUACAUGGUAACACAAUGUGGUAUUCUGGGAAGAAGCGAGCUUGUGCUUUCGUUCCUACUCAUGUAAACAGGUUUUUGGCAAUCAGUGAUAUGGGAAACCGUCGUUAUGUUCGCCUUGUUA